UGGGGAAUUUUGGACAAUGGGGGCAACCCUGAUCCAGCCAUCCCGCGUGUGCGAUGAAGGCCUUCGGGUUGUAAAGCACUUUUGGCAGGGAAGAAACAGCCUGGGCUAAUAUCCCGGGCGACUGACGGUACCUGCAGAAUAAGCACCGGCUAACUACGUGCCAGCAGCCGCGGUAAUACGUAGGGUGCAAGCGUUAAUCGGAAUUACUGGGCGUAAAGAGUGCGUAGGCGGUUUUCUAAGUUCGGUGUGAAAUCUCCCGGCUUAACUGGGAGGGUGCGCCGAAGACUGGGAAGCUGGAGUGUGGGAAAGGCAGGCGGAAUUCCUGGUGUAGCGGUGAAAUGCGUAGAUAUCAGGAGGAACACCGGCGGUGUAGACGGCUUGCUAGACCAUAACUGACGCUGAGGCACGAAAGCGUGGGUAGCAAACA
RNAcentral lists this ribosomal RNA (427 nucleotides) under uncultured bacterium. RNAcentral's name for it is "bacterial SSU rRNA". It matches the Rfam family "Bacterial small subunit ribosomal RNA", at positions 355 to 774 of the family's 1533-position model. The record is from RNAcentral.